This 253-nucleotide ribosomal RNA is filed under the name uncultured bacterium. Its description in RNAcentral is "partial 16S ribosomal RNA". It matches the Rfam family "Bacterial small subunit ribosomal RNA", at positions 524 to 776 of the family's 1533-position model. The record is from RNAcentral.
AACGUAGGGGGCCAGCGUUGCUCGGAAUUACUGGGCGUAAAGCGUGCGCAGGCGGUUCUAUAAGACAGAUGUGAAAUCCCCGGGCUCAACCUGGGAACUGCAUUUGUGACUGUAGAGCUGGAGUACGGCAGAGGGGGAUGGAAUUCCGCGUGUAGCAGUGAAAUGCGUAGAUAUGCGGAGGAACACCGAUGGCGAAGGCAAUCCCCUGGGCCUGUACUGACGCUCAUGCACGAAAGCGUGGGGAGCAAACAGG